AAUUCAGUCAGCUCUUUCUCCAAUUUCUCUCUUUUGCUUCCUCUUCUUUUCUCAAUGAAAGCGACUUGAGUAAAAUUCUUUUCUUUUCAAUGAAAGCAUAGAGACUUGAGUAGAAUUCUUGAAGAUCUCAGUCCACAUAAGUAAUUUUAUUCAUAUUCAAGUAAGAAUUUCUUUAUAUUUUGGUAAUUUCAGUUAGGAUUUUCUUUUUGUUUUCUUAUAUUAUAGUGAUUUGAUGUAUAUUGGUAUUUCUAUAUUGUUUCAUAUAUCAUAUGUUUGUUGUGGUCACUUUUUAAAGUAGCAUGACUUUUAUGCUUCCAUUUGAUUGUCUGAAAUUAGAGUUUUUUUUAUAAUGUUCUGUUAAAUGAAAAACUUGUUUUUUGAGCAUUUAUUUUGUAUUUUUUUUCUUUAUCUUCCAUAAUUUUAUGGGUGAUUGUUAGGUAUGCCAUAGUUUAGCGUAUUUAUGACUGUUAGGUAUGUGAUCUUUUUAUAUUUGUUUUUGGUGUUGCUUUCUCAAUAUAUAUGGUCCCUAUCUCUUUAUCCUUUAUCGUUGGUUUGACAUAAAAUAUUGAUAGAUUCCUUGUUUUUAUUUUCUUUAUUGGUAGAUUUCCUGUUUUUGUUUUCUUUAUUAAUUUCUGAUAAGUCACUUUCUCUUAAUUUUAUGUUUGUCACGUGACCCCUUCAAAGAAUGGUUGAAAAGGUUGAUGUGGUCUUUAACUAUGGAGGAAAGUAGGUCCUUACUCCUCAACUUACCUACUUAAAAAAAUUGACUCAUAUAUGGGAAUGGCAUGAUCCUGAUUUGCUCUCAUAUAUAGAUAUAUGUUUAGAGUACACUGGAAAGUUAGGUUUUAGUAAGGUGAAACAGUUGUUAUGUAUAGGGCCAUUUGGUGGGUAUUAUCUAGUCGAGGGUGAUGCAGGAAUUAGAGCUUUAUAAGUUGCAUUUUCUACUCAAUCCAAUCUGUUUAAACUUUAAUUGUUUGUUGUUGAGGAGGGUGAAAAUAUUAUGUCAGCUCCUAAUGUUAGUAAACAUAAUAGAUCUUUCUCUGCAACAGUAGAUGCAGUAACUGAUGGUGAAUCAAGUGUGGAAGAGGAGGAUGAAAAUGAACCUGUAAAUAGUGACUAUAAUAGUGAUGAGUUAGAAUUUCUUGAAAGGGAAAAGAAAAGAGAAGUUAAUGAGAGUCUAGACAACUUCUUAGAGUUGGAAAAGGGAAUGAGCUUUAAGGAUCUUAAUGAAGCAAAAAUGUUUGUGAGCUAUUACUCUAUUAUUAAGAAGAGGGACCAUAAAGUUGCUAAGAGUGACCCUACUAGAGUUAGAUAUAAGUGUGAUGUUGGUUGUCCUUUUGUGUGUCUAAUAUUAGAAGUUGGUAAAGGUGAAGGAUUUGAAGUUAAAACCUUGGAAAUGAAAACACAUGUUAACCAUGCUUUAAGAAUAGAAGAGCUUCCCAACAAGCUUUAGCACCUUAUUUCAAGAACAAAGUCCAAAAUAACCCUAAUUACAAGGUGACAGAUAUGAGAAAGCAUGUGGAUGAUAAAUUUUCACUUAAUGUUAGCUAUACAAAGAUGAAGAGGGUUAAGAGAAUUAUCUUAGAGAAAUUGGAUGGUAGCUUUAUUGAUGAUUUCAAUAAGUUGGAAGCAUAUGUUCAAGAAUUGAGGGAUACCAAUCCUGGUUUUGAUGUUGUGAUAAACAUAUCUAAAGAUGCCUUGAAAUAAGGUAAAAGAAGAUUUUUUAAGAAUGUAUGUGUGCUUUGAAGCUUUGAAAAGUGGUUGGAGAAGUGGUUUGAGACCAUUUAUAGGUCUGGAUGGACAAGAUUCAAUGAAGCAUUUCUAUCCACUUGCUUGGGCAGUGGUUGAUAAAGAAACAACUAGAACAUGGAAGUGGUUCAUUGAGUUGUUGAGAAAUUCAUUAGGUUUGGCAGAUAGUGAAGGGUUGACACUUAUGUCUGAUAUGCAAAAGGGGUUGAUCGAUGUUGUUGGUCAAUUGCUUCCAAAAGCACACCACAGAUGGUGUAUAAGACAUAUAAAAGCUAAUUGGGCCAAGAUUUGGAGAGGUGGAGAGAUGAAAAAGUUAAUGUGGUGGUCUGCUUGGAGUACAUAUGUAGAAGAAUUUGAAGAUCAACUAAAGAGCAUGGGUUCUGUGUCUGAACAAGUAGUCAAAGAUCUAUUAUGGUACCCUCCAAAACAUUGGUGCAGAGCCUAUUUUGACACAGUGUGCAAAAACUUCACAUGUGAAAAUAAUUUCACAGAGUCGUUCAACAAAUGGAUUUUGGCUGCAAGGGCAAGCCAAUAAUUAAGAUGUUGGAAGAUAUCAAAAUCAAGGUCAUGGAUAGGUUGAAAGAUCUUGCAGUGCACGGUGAAAAGUGGACAGAAAACUUUUGUCCAUAUGCCAUGGAGUUGUAUAAUGAUUUCAAAAUCAUUGCCCGAGAUUGUCAUGUUCAAGCUAAUGGAGACUUAGGGUAUGAGGUAGUUGAGGGUAUUGAUAGGCAUGUUGUGAGUCUUGCAAGUAAGAAAUGCACAUGUAGGACAUGGGAUUUGACAGGAAUACCAUGUCCUCAUGCCAUUAAAGCUUUUCAACAUGAUAAACAAGAACCAGAGGAUGAGAUACACCAGUGGUAUUCAAAAGAUACUUAUAUAUUGCUGUACCAACAUAAAAUACAACCAGUUAGGGGUGAGAAAUUCUGGAAAGUUCAUCCUUCACAUGCUAUGGAGCCACCAGGAAUACAUAAAAUGGUUGGUAGAUCAAAAGUUUUUAGAGUAAGGAAGAAAAAUGAGGCAAGGAAGAGAGAGGGAUUGUGGUCAAAAAGUCGAAAGGGGCUGAAAAUGACAUGUGGCCAUUGCAGUGCAACAAGUCACAAUUUAAGGACAUAUCCUAUAAUAAGUUUCAUGUUCCUUAGUUAUUAUUUAUGUUGUUGUCUACUAACUAUUUAACUGUAUAGUCACUUUGUCAAAUUUUGUAGCUUCAAAGAAGAGAAGAAGUUCUCCAAGAUGUGCCACUGUCAGUACCCCAACCUAGUGAAGAAUCUGUCUUCAUGCCAACUCAUGGAUUUUCUGCAUCUUCUAGUCAACAGAUAAGCCAACCAACUGAUGAAGUUGUUGGCCCUUCAAACAAGAAGAGGAAAGCUAAGGAUAAACUUGUUGCACCUUCAAAGAGGUCUGUGGAAAAUAAUAGUGCCGCUUCUAGCAUAGUUUAGAAGCCUAUUGCACCUUCAGAAGCACUUGUUAAUGAAGAUGAAACUGGAGAUGAGCUUGAAGUCGAGGAUGAGCAGCCCUUGCUUAGGCCUAGGGCUUUAUCUGAAGCUACGACUAGGCUAAAAAUGAAGAAUUUACAACUAAAACCAACUGCUACAAGGAAGAUAUUAACUUCAGGGGUGAUGAAAAUGGUGUUAGUAUACCUACUAAUAUGCCAUAUUCACCAAGAAAGAUGACUUGGAAAGGCAAAUCUUGUGUUACCUCAAGCCAAAUGGCAACAGAAAAGGAGAAAAGGAUUAGCAAACUGAAGACAAAAAGGGUAAAACACUAAGGAACGACAAUUAUGCAUAUGUAGUGAUUUUAAGUUUUUGAGGAUGUUAUGUAAUGACAUGGCAUAAUGAAUUUUCGUUUUUGGUAUUUUGAAUCAAUCUUGAACUAACUUGAUUGUAUUGAUUCACUUUAAAAUAUUUGGGUGCUUAUUAUCUUGAUUGUUUUGA
This is an RNA transcript of Capsicum annuum, 3680 nucleotides long. RefSeq lists it as uncharacterized. Lineage: Eukaryota; Viridiplantae; Streptophyta; Magnoliopsida; Solanales; Solanaceae. The transcript is spliced from 3 exons. The record is from RefSeq and is a predicted model, not a curated record.